Molecule: ribosomal RNA, 1528 nt
Filed under: Klebsiella pneumoniae MGH 51
Lineage: Bacteria; Pseudomonadati; Pseudomonadota; Gammaproteobacteria; Enterobacterales; Enterobacteriaceae
Description: bacterial SSU rRNA
Rfam family: Bacterial small subunit ribosomal RNA
Source: RNAcentral
AGAGUUUGAUCAUGGCUCAGAUUGAACGCUGGCGGCAGGCCUAACACAUGCAAGUCGAGCGGUAGCACAGAGAGCUUGCUCUCGGGUGACGAGCGGCGGACGGGUGAGUAAUGUCUGGGAAACUGCCUGAUGGAGGGGGAUAACUACUGGAAACGGUAGCUAAUACCGCAUAACGUCGCAAGACCAAAGUGGGGGACCUUCGGGCCUCAUGCCAUCAGAUGUGCCCAGAUGGGAUUAGCUAGUAGGUGGGGUAACGGCUCACCUAGGCGACGAUCCCUAGCUGGUCUGAGAGGAUGACCAGCCACACUGGAACUGAGACACGGUCCAGACUCCUACGGGAGGCAGCAGUGGGGAAUAUUGCACAAUGGGCGCAAGCCUGAUGCAGCCAUGCCGCGUGUGUGAAGAAGGCCUUCGGGUUGUAAAGCACUUUCAGCGGGGAGGAAGGCGAUAAGGUUAAUAACCUUGUCGAUUGACGUUACCCGCAGAAGAAGCACCGGCUAACUCCGUGCCAGCAGCCGCGGUAAUACGGAGGGUGCAAGCGUUAAUCGGAAUUACUUGGCGUAAAGCGCACGCAGGCGGUCUGUCAAGUCGGAUGUGAAAUCCCCGGGCUCAACCUGGGAACUGCAUUCGAAACUGGCAGGCUAGAGUCUUGUAGAGGGGGGUAGAAUUCCAGGUGUAGCGGUGAAAUGCGUAGAGAUCUGGAGGAAUACCGGUGGCGAAGGCGGCCCCCUGGACAAAGACUGACGCUCAGGUGCGAAAGCGUGGGGAGCAAACAGGAUUAGAUACCCUGGUAGUCCACGCCGUAAACGAUGUCGAUUUGGAGGUUGUGCCCUUGAGGCGUGGCUUCCGGAGCUAACGCGUUAAAUCGACCGCCUGGGGAGUACGGCCGCAAGGUUAAAACUCAAAUGAAUUGACGGGGGCCCGCACAAGCGGUGGAGCAUGUGGUUUAAUUCGAUGCAACGCGAAGAACCUUACCUGGUCUUGACAUCCACAGAACUUUCCAGAGAUGGAUUGGUGCCUUCGGGAACUGUGAGACAGGUGCUGCAUGGCUGUCGUCAGCUCGUGUUGUGAAAUGUUGGGUUAAGUCCCGCAACGAGCGCAACCCUUAUCCUUUGUUGCCAGCGGUCCGGCCGGGAACUCAAAGGAGACUGCCAGUGAUAAACUGGAGGAAGGUGGGGAUGACGUCAAGUCAUCAUGGCCCUUACGACCAGGGCUACACACGUGCUACAAUGGCAUAUACAAAGAGAAGCGACCUCGCGAGAGCAAGCGGACCUCAUAAAGUAUGUCGUAGUCCGGAUUGGAGUCUGCAACUCGACUCCAUGAAGUCGGAAUCGCUAGUAAUCGUAGAUCAGAAUGCUACGGUGAAUACGUUCCCGGGCCUUGUACACACCGCCCGUCACACCAUGGGAGUGGGUUGCAAAAGAAGUAGGUAGCUUAACCUUCGGGAGGGCGCUUACCACUUUGUGAUUCAUGACUGGGGUGAAGUCGUAACAAGGUAACCGUAGGGGAACCUGCGGUUGGAUCACCU